GGGAGCUAAAGCGUAUGUAGUUCAAUUCAAUUCUCCUGGGUGUGUUAUAUGUGCAGGUAAUACACUGUUUACUUUCGAAACCAGCUCUCCUGAUUUCAGGGCCCUUGUUGGUUUAAUUGAUCAGGCCAGGAUUGUAUUUAUACUGAACCAACAUAACCUGGUGUGUCAAGAAUUUGGAUCACGUUAUUUCAGGGAUGGUCAAUCUCUGGUACUGCAAGGCAAACCUGAAUUCCAUUACUAAGGCUACAUUUAUCUCUGGUAAUGAAUACACAUUUUCCCAUACUCUGCAACAGAAAUGCUUCCAGAAACAGCAUUUCAAUUUAUUUCAGGUAACAGAAUCCUGAAUCAGAGCCUGUGUACAACGGACCUCUAUAAUGAUGUUCAGGAUGGUGGUCCACAGAGAAGGUGAUGAUUCCAUGAUCACUAAAACAUUUAACCCUUUCAAUAUGCCACUUGAUUCACUUUAAAAAUGUGUACUUUGAAAUAAAAAAAAAGUGUCAUAACAUUUAUUCUACAAUGGAUCUUCAUUCAAAAGAAGCACCAUUACAAUGCUGUUAUGAUAGCAUGGUGUGUAGCUGUAACCCACAAUUUUUAAGGUGUGGGAAUACAUUGACAUACCCAUCAAACCAUGUGGACACUGGAAAUGUUUUUUGGACUCUACUUCUUUCUCUCUCAGCUGGGCUUUACAAAACAACAUGUGAUACAAAACUUAAAAAACCUUUUUUUUUGUCAUAUAUACACCCAACUCAAAAAAACACCCCACAAUGUAUAUCAUUUAUAUUCACCUGGAAAAUACUUUACAAAAACAUAGCACUUUAUACCAAAUGCUUGU
Non-coding RNA from Pelobates cultripes (western spadefoot toad), 832 nucleotides. NCBI's taxonomy places the organism in Eukaryota, Metazoa, Chordata, Amphibia, Anura, Pelobatidae. The record is from the annotation of a GenBank genome assembly.